RNAcentral lists this unclassified non-coding RNA (398 nucleotides) under rhizosphere metagenome. RNAcentral's name for it is "partial ribosomal RNA internal transcribed spacer region". The record is from RNAcentral.
GUAGGUGAACCUGCGGAAGGAUCAUUAACACGUAUCCAAACGUUAAAACCCUCUGUCAACAUUCAACACCAAUAAUGGUCCUGCAAAUAGUUUGGGUCAACCCCUAGUAAAUCAUUGUCUGAACCAGAUUUUGAUGGCUUCCCUGGCACCGCGGUGAGCAAGAUUUACGCUUCUGGCAGCUUUGAAGUGACUUCCACUGUUCUGAAUGUCAGUGUACUUGCGUAAGGAGUUGGCGCAGUCAACGAAUCAACGGGCCGACACGGCCCUGCGACCGGGACCCUUUGAGCGGGUAAAACGGCUCCAACCGAAUGAAAAUUUGGCAUGACGAGAGAGGCGGCCGGCCGAAAGGUUGUAGGCACAAAAAACGAACAACUGUUAACAUGGAUAUCUUGGUUCUC